AGCCCACAUUCACUAUUGAACACAAUGGAAGGGGGAAUUAUUGUGAUUCUUGCUUUGGUUGCCAAGCUGGUGUUGUCUGAGCCUGUCCGGCAUGUGCUCUGCCUGCUCUGACUUCUGACCCCAGGAGGAGCAUUCAAGGAGCCAAGGAAUGGGUCCAGGCAUUGUGCUAGUAUCUAGCCAUGGCAAGAUACUAGAUCUAACCAUGAUGAGAGCAGCUAAGAUUGGACUGUACCUGAGUGAGCCCAUUGAAUCCUCCACCAGCACCACAUGGGGUUUCUAUCGUUUGUCUCAGCUGCAGCAAUAUAAUAUGAGACAAGGGCCAAGAACUGCCCAGAACUGCGCACGGUGUUGAGAAGAGGCUGCGAGCUGCUGCUCUGCAGAGUUGGGAGGUGCUUCCGGGCUCUGCAGGCUCCCUGCAGGCCCUUGCUGACUGUCCAUGGCCUGCACCUGCCCUACCCGCUGAGCCGCCCCAACAGCUGCGCCUGGCUGUGGUUUCCUGAGGGGUCCCGUCUGCAUCGGCUGCCCUGUGUCCUGACACUAUGGUGGGUUUGCAAGUGGCAGAGUCCAGGGAAGGAGACUGGGGAGCAUGGCCAUGGGUCAUCUGGGGGGCACGGAGGGUUCCGGCUCCCACCCAGCUCCACCUGCUUCAUCAGCAGUGGUCGCCAAGAUUGCAUAACCAGGACGAUGACAACGGUGAGAGCUCUGUUGCAGUUAAAGACUUAAGAACAACUUGUGCCUGCUUACUAAUACAUUUUAUCACCCAGGCAGCGUCAGGACUCUGAGAGCCUCUCACAUGCUGUUAUCAUCUGAGCGAGACCUUAAGAUUUGUCAUCGAGCAGGCCGACCCUUGCCUGAAUGGACCUCACAUUCUUGAGGUAGGGAGAGAUCUGCAAUCAGCAUGAUCGAUAAGCGAUUUUCAUAAGACGCUAGAAGUCAUCAGAGCCUAGGAAACAGGGUGAGGAAGUAGGGGAGGAGCCGGAAGGGCCACCAUUUAAAACAAGGUGGCCAGGAUAGUCCUCUCUGUAGGGGUGACAUUGAAGAAAUGGUGGGAGAGGGUGUGAGGUGCACAUCUCUGAGGGCAGAGUGUUCUGGAGACAGGAAACCAUCUGUGCUAAGGCCCUGUGGUGAGAGGGUGCUAGGAGCUAGCGAGCCCAGUCUACUCAACACAGCCAUCAUUUUAAAACCUCGGUGAGCCCUGUCCCUUAUGAACCCCCUCCCACGGAAGCUGAUGUCACUGAGAGUGAAAGCUGCAGUGUAGGGUGGCCUCCUCUGCACACCGGCCCUGGCCCUCUGACCUCUCCUACCCCAUGAUGGUCCCCUGUCAGCUGGGUCUAGAGUGGACCGUCGGGGCAGACCUGGAAGGGGAAGGCUGUUAAGUUCCUGCUCACUUUAGUGACAUACAGCAACACCUUUGUUUCCCCCUGGAUUCUGGGGAUCAGCAACAUGUGCGGGUGGGGGUAGGGCAGUCCUGCUGCUCUGGGAUGAGCUGCCCCCUCAGGGAGGACUGGCCAGCUGGGUGGCUCUGCUCCUGGAGAGUGACUGGCCAUUGGCUGGGUGGAUGGGGUGACUGUCCUGAGAGCUUGGCACCACCAGAAGUGCAGUCCAGGCAGCCCUUCAUAGGUGGCUCAGGGUGCCCAGUGGGACAAGAGGUGGCCCUCAAGCUAAGCUUGAGCUUAAGCCUAAGCCUAAGGUUGCCACGCUUGGGCUAGGAUGCCAAGUCUCCAUGCUGGCCGCUGGUCACAGCUCUGUCCCUGUGGGAGAAGAUGACUGAAGCCUGGCCAGGCUGGGCCAUCUCCCCAGCAGCCACCAGGGCUUGCUGUGAGAUGUGGGAGCCGUGCUAGGGUCCUGCCCCAGGGCUGUUGGUAGGCAUGAUGGGAAGCAGUGCAAUUACGGAUAUUUUCUGGAGAUAAUCAUCAACAGGGUUUGCUGAUGGAAUGGACCUGGAAUACAAGAAGAAAAGGAAUCAAGGAUGGCUCUGAGGUUCGGGGCUUGAGCAACUUGGAUGGGGGUGCUGCUGAGUCAGGUGGGAGGGGAGCAGGCUCAGGGGAUGCGGACUCCAUUUGAAGUGGCCGCGUUGGAGAUGUCUGUGGACAUCCACGUGAGACGCUGAGUGGCCAGCUGGACAUGUGAAUCUGGUGUCCAGGGGGAGGUUUGGGCUGCAGAUACAGAUUUCACCAGGACAUAUUUUUAGUGAUGCACAGACUGACCAGGCUAGAAAGAAGCACAGGGUGUGCAGCCCCACUCUGGUAAGCAUCUCUCUGCUUUUACUGAGGUGUCUCCACUGCAUCCUUGAUUUAAUGGAAUUCAACUGGACCAUCAUUGAGCAUCUGUUGUAUACGAUGUACUCUGGAGGCGUAAAAACUAUUGGGAGAAAUGAGGAAGUAAAUAAGUAAUAUUGAUAUAAUUCUUCUAUUAAUAAGAAUCAAUUUAUCUGAAAACAAAAAGUCUCUUAAGCAUUUGAAUAAAAUAGAAAGCCUUUAUUAACAUAUGAAGAUAAAUCCAUACCCAUAAAUAAAAAUCUGCACACUCAUGGGUGCUGACCAGUGUAUCCUAGCUCACCAGCACAGUGGGCUGUGUGUGGAGAAAGUGGGCAUUCAGCUUUCACAGCAGGCAGAGGGAGCCUUGGAGGGGAGGGUGCUGGCUCAGGACCAGUGGCCAAGCCCGUGGUGGAGUCAGGCCGGCCUGCAGUUGGACACUCUUGACUGAUUAAACAUUAAUAGGCAAUUCUAACAAAAACGAGAGGAUGGCAACUCCAUAGGAAGGAGGGCCACAUGUGGGGGUGAAUUCCAAGUCAAACAUUUUCCCCAAAGAAUUUGUUGCUAAACUUUUAAUUUUGAGAUAACUGAAGAUUCACAUGUAGUGGUCAGAUAUAAUAAAGCAUGAUCUUCUGUGCCUUUUACCCAGUUUUCUCCAUCAUAACAUCUUGCAAACAUAGCACUAUAUUACAGUGUCUCAACCAGUGUAUAAAUGGAUACACUCACCAGUGUCACUGGGGUUCCUCCAGUCUCAGUUCAUUUGUGUGCAUUUAUUUUCCGUAACUGUAUCACUGCUGUAGAGUAGGAUGGCCACCUUGACAGUCGAGGCAGAACAGCUCCACACAAGGGUUCCUGUCUUCCUUGCUCCUGGAACCAUUAAUCUGCUCUCCAUCUCUAUAAUUUUAUCCUUUGAGACUGUUACAUAAACAAAACCACACAGUAUCUAACCUCACAAGGCAUUUUUGCACUCAGUAAAAUGCCCUUGAGACCCAUUCAUGUUGCUGUGUGUAUCAGAGCCCGUUCCUUUCCACAGCUGAGCCGUGUUCCUGGUGUGGACACACUACUGUUUAACCAGUUAUCGUCGAAGGAUGGCUGCCUUGUCCCCCAUUUUCGACCACUACAAAUAAAGCUUCCAUGAGCAUUCAUGUACAAGUUUCUUUGUGAACUUAAGUUUUCAAGAAAUAAAAAAAGAAAUGUUUUCAAAUGCUUGAGCAAAUAGCCAAGAUCCCAGGGCACCGUGGGAAAAUGUGGAAGUGAGGAUUUUUUUUUUUUUUGAGACGGAGUCUCUCUCUG
Molecule: long non-coding RNA, 3548 nt
Filed under: Pongo abelii (Sumatran orangutan)
Lineage: Eukaryota; Metazoa; Chordata; Mammalia; Primates; Hominidae
Description: lincRNA
Source: RNAcentral